RNAcentral lists this ribosomal RNA (253 nucleotides) under uncultured bacterium. RNAcentral's name for it is "partial 16S ribosomal RNA". It matches the Rfam family "Bacterial small subunit ribosomal RNA", at positions 524 to 776 of the family's 1533-position model. The record is from RNAcentral.
UAUGGGGGGAGCAAGCGUUGUUCGGAUUUACUGGGCGUAAAGGGCGCGUAGGCGGCGCAACAAGUCACUUGUGAAAUCUCCGGGCUUAACCCGGAGCGGCCAAGUGAUACUGUCGUGCUAGAGUGCGGAAGGGGCUACUGGAAUUCUCGGUGUAGCGGUGAAAUGCGUAGAUAUCGAGAGGAACACCUGCGGCGAAGGCGGGUAGCUGGGCCGACACUGACGCUGAGGCGCGAAAGCGUGGGGAGCAAACAGG